RNAcentral lists this long non-coding RNA (238 nucleotides) under Erythranthe guttata (spotted monkey flower). Its description in RNAcentral is "long non-coding RNA (EGUT_LNC003164)". The record is from RNAcentral. Lineage: Eukaryota; Viridiplantae; Streptophyta; Magnoliopsida; Lamiales; Phrymaceae.
GUGGUUCGUGAUCGCCUCAUCCUAAAUGGGCGGCUAUCCCAUCCUAAAGUUGGGCAUCUCCUCUCAAGGGUGGUACAUCCACUGACCUUUCAACCCCAAGGGGUUUCACAUCCUUUCAAGUGUUUCACGUCCCUACUUCAAAAACAGAAAAAGGGUCUGACGCGCGCGCACGAACCAAUGGCACAACCGUGCGCAUCAACCUCAGACCAUAGGUCUCGAGCGCCUCAUCCUACAGUGG